UGUGAUGAGUCCCAGGGGAUGGGGAAUUAUCCUCUCUCAAAGGUUAAUCUGGAGAGCCAGGAGUCGUGGCCUGGUGGGAUCUGAUCUCCCUGGCAACCACAGCAGUCCGUGGGGAAGGCCGGGUUUGCGAUGUGUUGUGGAGACUGAGUGGUUGCUAAGGGGUGGGGGUGACUCUGAGAAACGGACAGAGGCAGAGAGAGAGAGGAAGGGCCGCAGAGAAGCGUGGGCAAGCGUCUGAACCUCAUUUCGGGCCCUGGGGACGAGUGGAUUGGCAGCAGCAGCAGCGCGGUGAAAGGUCAGAGGUCAUUCGCCGACAAGGCGGAACCGCCGGUUCCAAAUCUCCGCUGGCCUUUCCCAUGUUCUUCACAUUGAAGUACGGUGACGACAAGAUGGCCCUCUUGAACCUGCAGUGCCAGGUCCCCGUACUCAUGGAUCACAUCAGGACCCUCUGUCACUGCAGACCGCAAGAGGAAGUUGAUCUCAGUGAUGCCUCCGGGAUGGUGAAAAAUUUGUCAAUGUUUCCUGCAGUUUACGCGUCUGAACUACUGAAGGAGCGUGAGGUGCUGAUACCAGUGAGAGUGGAA
Chiloscyllium plagiosum (whitespotted bambooshark) is the source of this 584-nucleotide non-coding RNA. NCBI's taxonomy places the organism in Eukaryota, Metazoa, Chordata, Chondrichthyes, Orectolobiformes, Hemiscylliidae. The record is from RefSeq and is a predicted model, not a curated record.